UAGGUACAGAGGGCAGCCACCCAGUGAUGGGGAGGCGAAUCUCGAAAGCCUAUCUCAGUUCGGAUUGGAGGCUGAAACUCGCCUCCAUGAAGUUGGAUUCGCUAGUAAUCGCGCAUCAGCCAUGGCGCGGUGAAUACGUUCCCGGGCCUUGUACACACCGCCCGUCAAGCCAUGGGAGUUGGGGGUGCCUGAAGUUCGUGACCGAAAGGAGCGACCUAGGGCAAAACCGAUGACUGGGGCUAAGUCGUAACAAGGUAAC
RNAcentral lists this ribosomal RNA (259 nucleotides) under uncultured bacterium. RNAcentral's name for it is "partial 16S ribosomal RNA". It matches the Rfam family "Bacterial small subunit ribosomal RNA", at positions 1234 to 1500 of the family's 1533-position model. The record is from RNAcentral.